UGGGGAAUAUUGCGCAAUGGGCGAAAGCCUGACGCAGCGACGCCGCGUGAGGGAUGAAGGUUUUCGGAUCGUAAACCUCUGUCAGAAGGGAAGAAGUUAUGUGGUACUAAUCAACCAUGUAUUGACGGUACCUUCAAAGGAAGCACCGGCUAACUCCGUGCCAGCAGCCGCGGUAAUACGGAGGGUGCGAGCGUUAAUCGGAAUUACUGGGCGUAAAGCGCACGUAGGCGGUAUGACAAGUCAAGGGUGAAAUCCCCCGGCUCAACCGGGGAACUGCCUUUGAAACUGUCAAACUGGAGUAUGUGAGAGGGUGGCGGAAUUCCUGGUGUAGGAGUGAAAUCCGUAGAUAUCAGGAGGAACAUCAGUGGCGAAGGCGGCCACCUGGCACAUAACUGACGCUGAGGUGCGAAAGCGUGGGUAGCAAACAGG
This 429-nucleotide ribosomal RNA is filed under the name uncultured bacterium. RNAcentral's name for it is "bacterial SSU rRNA". It matches the Rfam family "Bacterial small subunit ribosomal RNA", at positions 355 to 776 of the family's 1533-position model. The record is from RNAcentral.